RNAcentral lists this ribosomal RNA (392 nucleotides) under uncultured bacterium. Its description in RNAcentral is "partial 16S ribosomal RNA". It matches the Rfam family "Bacterial small subunit ribosomal RNA", at positions 523 to 918 of the family's 1533-position model. The record is from RNAcentral.
AUACGGAGGAUCCGAGCGUUAUCCGGAUUUAUUGGGUUUAAAGGGUGCGCAGGCGGCCAUUUAAGUCAGCGGUUAAAUCGUGGGGCUCAACCCCAUUCUGCAGUUGAUACUGGUUUCCUUGAGUACGGUACAGGUGGGCGGAAUUCGUGGUGUAGCGGGUAAAUGCUUAGAUAUCACGAAGAACUCCGAUCGCGAAGGCAGCUCACCGGGCCGGAACUGACACUGAUGCUCGAAAGUGCGGGUAUCAAACAGGAUUAGAUACCCUGGUAGUCCGCACAGUAAACGAUGAAUACUCGCUGUUUGCGAUACACGGUAAGCGGCCAAGCGAAAGCGUUAAGUAUUCCACCUGGGGAGUACGCCGGCAACGGUGAAACUUAAAGGAAUUGACGGGG